AAUCCAUGGUGAGGGCACUCUCUUCGGUACUCUUUGUACCUUUCCCAAGCUUCGCAGAAAGCUUCUCCAUGCUGCUGUUUGAACGAUGAGAUUUUGUUCCUCAGAGA
Molecule: small nucleolar RNA, 107 nt
Organism: Eutrema salsugineum
Lineage: Eukaryota; Viridiplantae; Streptophyta; Magnoliopsida; Brassicales; Brassicaceae
Rfam family: Plant small nucleolar RNA R71
About the family: R71 is a member of the C/D box family of snoRNAs containing the C (UGAUGA) and D (CUGA) box motifs. Multiple nearly identical copies of this snoRNA have been identified in Arabidopsis, and it is thought to function as a 2'-O-ribose methylation guide for 18S ribosomal RNA.
Source: Rfam